Molecule: ribosomal RNA, 915 nt
Filed under: uncultured bacterium
Lineage: Bacteria
Description: bacterial SSU rRNA
Rfam family: Bacterial small subunit ribosomal RNA
Source: RNAcentral
CGUCUGCUGUGAAAAUCUGAGGCUCAACCUCGGACUUGCAGUGGGUACGGGCAGACUAGAGUGCGGUAGGGGAGAAGGGAAUUCCUGGUGUAGCGGUGGAAUGCGCAGAUAUCAGGAGGAACUCCAAUGGCGAAGGCACUUCUCUGGUCCGUAACUGACGCUGAGGAGCGAAAGCGUGGGGAUCGAACAGGAUUAGAUACCAUGGUAGUCCACUCCGUAAACGUUGGGCGCUAGAUGUGGGUCACAUUCCACGUGAUCCGUGUUGCAGCUAACGCAUUAUGCGCCUCGCCUGGGGAGUACGGCCGCAAGGCUAAAACUCAAAGGAAUUGACGGGGGCCCGCACAAGCGGCGGAGCAUGCGGAUUAAUUCGAUGCAACGCGAAGAACCUUACCAAGGCUUGACAUAUACAGGAAAACUGCAGAAAUGUAGUCCCCCGCAAGGGUCUGUAUACAGGUGGUGCAUGGUUGUCGUCAGCUCGUGUCGUGAGAUGUUGGGUUAAGUCCCGCAACGAGCGCAACCCUCGUCCUAUGUUGCCAGCACGUUAUGGUGGGAACUCAUGGGAGACUGCCGGGGUCAACUCGGAGGAAGGUGGGGAUGACGUCAAAUCAUCAUGCCCCUUAUGUCUUGGGCUUCACGCAUGCUACAAUGGCCGGUACAAAGGGCUGCAAUACCGCAAGGUGGAGCGAAUCCCAAAAAGCCGGUCUCAGUUCGGAUUGAGGUCUGCAACUCGACCUCAUGAAGUCGGAGUCGCUAGUAAUCGCAGAUCAGCAACGCUGCGGUGAAUACGUCCCCGGGCCUUGUACACACCGCCUGUCAAGUCACGAAAGUCGGUAACACCUGAAGCCGGUGGCCUAUCUGUAAGGAAGGACCCGUUUAAGGUGGGAUUGGUGAUUGGGACUAAGUCGUAACAAGGUA